This 366-nucleotide RNase P RNA is filed under the name Candidatus Desulfobia pelagia. Its description in RNAcentral is "RNase P RNA component class A". It matches the Rfam family "Bacterial RNase P class A". From Rfam's summary of the family: Ribonuclease P (RNase P) is a ubiquitous endoribonuclease, found in archaea, bacteria and eukarya as well as chloroplasts and mitochondria. Its best characterised activity is the generation of mature 5'-ends of tRNAs by cleaving the 5'-leader elements of precursor-tRNAs. Cellular RNase Ps are ribonucleoproteins. Lineage: Bacteria; Pseudomonadati; Thermodesulfobacteriota; Desulfobulbia; Desulfobulbales; Desulfobulbaceae. The record is from RNAcentral.
UGGAGUGGACGCAUGAUCGCCGCUUUACAGCGGAGGAAAGUCCGGACUCCACAGGGCAAGGUGGUUCGCAACACGAACUGGGGGCAACCCUAAGGAAAGUGCCACAGAAAACAUACCGCCUGCCGCCUGCAUUGCAGGUAACAGGUAAGGUUGAAAAGGCGGGGUAAGAGCCCACCGCUUUCAUGGUGACAUGGAAGGCACGGCAAACCCCACCUGGAGCAAGACCAAAUAGGAAAGCGUUUAAGGGCUGCCCGUCCAAAGCUUUCGGGUAGGUUGCUAGAGGUGCCGGGCAACCGGCAUCCCAGAUAAAUGAUCAUGGCCCCGUUUUUUGGGGUACAGGAUCCGGCUUAUAAUCCACUCCAGAAU